Folsomia candida is the source of this 576-nucleotide long non-coding RNA. RefSeq lists it as uncharacterized. Lineage: Eukaryota; Metazoa; Arthropoda; Collembola; Entomobryomorpha; Isotomidae. The record is from RefSeq and is a predicted model, not a curated record. The transcript is spliced from 2 exons.
GGGAUAUAGAAUUUCAUGUCGUGCAAUAGUGUAAAGUUUGGACGGUAUUAAUGUUCAAAUCGUAUUUGUCUCAGUUUUACUUUAUUCACUUUUUUCUCUUUACAUUUUUUUUACUAGUUUAAUUUUUGUAUUUUAUAGUUUUAUUUUUUUACCAAAAAUUCUUUUGCAUAAAAUUCAUACAAAUUUUUUCAUACACCUGAAACAUGAAGGUACCUGCAUUGCUGUUCAGACUUGAAGGAAUGGUUCUUUUUAAGGGUACUACAACGAAGGAUCCGAUGCCUCAGAGGAGCAGUCGUUAUCGUACGAUAGCGGGGAGGACUAUUACGAUGGUUCAGCGUCCCGUGAGGGACCGCACCAUCAAGGUGGGCGUGGUUUUUGGGAUGUUGUGAAAGAUGUUGGGAAAAAAGCUCUGCAUGAGGCAAAGAAUGCCGACUACAAGAAAAUGGCCAAGGACAACUAUCAGGCUGGCAAGGAUGCGAAAGAAUUUUACGAUAAUGCGUAAAAAAUAAGUUACUUUUCUGAAAUAAAUGAUUAGAAUAUUGAUUUUACUGUACCACAUUUGUACUUAAUCAAGGA